UGGAAACCUCACGCACGCAUGCGCAGACUCACUUUACUGCGCGUGUUUCUGUUUUAUUUUGACAGAUCCAGGUUAGAGCGCCGUGAUUUUUCCGCGGGCUUUUAUUGUGAAGUUUCGCCUCGUGACGUAGAGUACUUCCGGCGCUCGUGUCAACAGAAGAUGGCCGCGUGCGUGUGCCGCGCGCUCCGGACCGCGCUCGCGGUCACCGGGAGGUGCGCGCGCACCGGACCGAACCUCACGCACACGCACCGCGCGUUCACGUGCAGGAACCAAGGAGAGAGGAGACAAGGAGAGAGGACACAAGGAGAGAGGACACAAGGAGAGAGGACACAAGGAGAGAGGAGACAUGCAGGAGCAGUGCUGUGGCCUGGUCUAGCGUUCUCUCUGUUUGGUCGGAGUGAGGAGGACGAGCGAGAUGAAGCUCAGAAGAAAGAAGACGAGAUGAUUCUGCUGCUCAAGAAGGCCAAGCUCAGUCUUCUUCGGGAUCAGUUGGUUUCUGCGUCGAGUUUCCUUCAUCAGGCUCUGGCUCUGGCCCAACAGCUCCACCACCAGGACGCCCAGCUGUACUGCUACAGCCAGAUGGCGAACCUGGCGUUUGUUCGUGGACAAUUGGACCAGGCGGAGCGUCUGUUUAAGUCGUCCCUGUCGAUCCUUUUGUCUCGGGGGAUUCCAGAAAACGACAACGCCGUCAUCGAGACGUCGCUCAAACUCGCCGCCAUCUACGCCCAACAGAACAGGUUGUCCCUGGCAGAACACGGCUUCAGGUUUUGUGUGGAGACGCUGGAGGAAAAACUGGAGAAAGAAGAAGAGGAGAUGAAGGAGACGAAGGAGACGAAGGAGGCGAAGGAGACGACAGAGGAGUCCACAGGUGAGGCGACAGAGGAGGCUCAGACUCUGCGUCGGGACUCGAGGCUCCUCUUGGGUUUGGCUCUGGACUCGAGGGCUCGGUUCUGGACUCAGGUCUCUGACCUGGAGCGCGCUGAAGAAGACUACAGGAAGAGUCUGAAGAUCUGCAGCGAAGAGCAGGGCCCAGAGCAUCCUCAGACGUUGGUUCUUCUCAGUGAUCUGGCGUCGGUUCUGGAUCUUCGUGGGAAUCAUUCGGAGGCUCUGGUUCUGGUCCAAAGAGCCGUGGAUCUGGGCCGAACCCACGAGCACCCGGACCUGCACGUGCUCCUGUGUAACCUGGCCGCCGUCCUCAUGCACACAGGAGACCUGGAGGCGGCGGCGACGUUUUACCACGAGGCUCUGAGUUUGUCCAAAAGUCGAGGAGACGAGGAAACGACAGAACAUCUGCACGAGGAACUGAAAGAACUGAAGAAGAAGAAAGACGAGAGGAAGAAGGAACGAGAAGAGAAGAAGAAGAAACAAGAAGAAGAAGAAGAGAGAGGAGGAGAGGAGGGAAAAGAGAAGAAAUAAAUGUGACGUGUCUCCUCCUCAGAGACAUUUUACUGUCAGGUGCCCUCCUGUGUGUCAGGUGCGCUCCUCCUCGUGUGUCAGGUGCGCCCCUGUCCUGAUCUGUUAAAUAUUUGUGGAUUUUCUGAUGAAUUUCUGUUUUAUUUUUCUGCGUCUGAAAAAAAUAAAAUCAUGAACCAAAACUCUGAAUCUGA
RNA transcript from Boleophthalmus pectinirostris (great blue-spotted mudskipper), 1607 nucleotides. It is a transcript of the gene named tetratricopeptide repeat domain 19, with no coding region annotated. NCBI's taxonomy places the organism in Eukaryota, Metazoa, Chordata, Actinopteri, Gobiiformes, Gobiidae. The record is from RefSeq and is a predicted model, not a curated record. The transcript has 11 exons.